UAGUGAGUUUGAUCCUGGCUCAGAUUGAACGCUGGCGGCAUGCUUUACACAUGCAAGUCGAACGGCAGCGCGGGGCAACCUGGCGGCGAGUGGCGAACGGGUGAGUAAUAUAUCGGAACGUACCCAAGAGUGGGGGAUAACGUAGCGAAAGUUACGCUAAUACCGCAUACGAUCUAUGGAUGAAAGUGGGGGAUCGCAAGACCUCAUGCUCCUGGGAGCGGCCGAUAUCUGAUUAGCUAGUUGGUGAGGUAAAGGCUCACCAAGGCCACGAUCAGUAGCUGGUCUGAGAGGACGACCAGCCACACUGGGGACUGAGACACGGGCCCAGACUCCUACGGGGAGGCAGCAGUGGGGGAAUAUUGGACAAUGGGCGAAAGCCCUGAUCCAGCAAUGCCGCGUGAGUGAUGAAGGCCUUAAGGGGGUUGUAAAACCCUCUUUUCUCAAGGAAGAAACGUCAAAUGACGGUACUUGAGGAAUCAGCAUCGGCUAACU
Molecule: ribosomal RNA, 492 nt
Filed under: uncultured Oxalobacteraceae bacterium
Lineage: Bacteria; Pseudomonadati; Pseudomonadota; Betaproteobacteria; Burkholderiales; Oxalobacteraceae
Description: bacterial SSU rRNA
Rfam family: Bacterial small subunit ribosomal RNA
Source: RNAcentral